UGGUGUCAGGGCUGUGGCGGGGGUGUGGCAGGGCUGCUGCCGAUAGUCGACGCAUGACGAAGCAGACGUUCGAAACGCCCAACGCCAUC
Molecule: transfer RNA, 89 nt
Filed under: Asanoa siamensis
Lineage: Bacteria; Bacillati; Actinomycetota; Actinomycetes; Micromonosporales; Micromonosporaceae
Description: tRNA-Gly
Source: RNAcentral